AAAUUGAAGAGUUUGAUCAUGGCUCAGAUUGAACGCUGGCGGCAGGCCUAACACAUGCAAGUCGAACGGUAACAGGAAGCAGCUUGCUGCUUUGCUGACGAGUGGCGGACGGGUGAGUAAUGUCUGGGAAACUGCCUGAUGGAGGGGGAUAACUACUGGAAACGGUGGCUAAUACCGCAUAACGUCGCAAGACCAAAGAGGGGGACCUUCGGGCCUCUUGCCAUCAGAUGUGCCCAGAUGGGAUUAGCUUGUUGGUGAGGUAACGGCUCACCAAGGCGACGAUCCCUAGCUGGUCUGAGAGGAUGACCAGCCACACUGGAACUGAGACACGGUCCAGACUCCUACGGGAGGCAGCAGUGGGGAAUAUUGCACAAUGGGCGCAAGCCUGAUGCAGCCAUGCCGCGUGUAUGAAGAAGGCCUUCGGGUUGUAAAGUACUUUCAGCGGGGAGGAAGGUGUUGUGGUUAAUAACCACAGCAAUUGACGUUACCCGCAGAAGAAGCACCGGCUAACUCCGUGCCAGCAGCCGCGGUAAUACGGAGGGUGCAAGCGUUAAUCGGAAUUACUGGGCGUAAAGCGCACGCAGGCGGUCUGUCAAGUCGGAUGUGAAAUCCCCGGGCUCAACCUGGGAACUGCAUUCGAAACUGGCAGGCUUGAGUCUUGUAGAGGGGGGUAGAAUUCCAGGUGUAGCGGUGAAAUGCGUAGAGAUCUGGAGGAAUACCGGUGGCGAAGGCGGCCCCCUGGACAAAGACUGACGCUCAGGUGCGAAAGCGUGGGGAGCAAACAGGAUUAGAUACCCUGGUAGUCCACGCCGUAAACGAUGUCUACUUGGAGGUUGUGCCCUUGAGGCGUGGCUUCCGGAGCUAACGCGUUAAGUAGACCGCCUGGGGAGUACGGCCGCAAGGUUAAAACUCAAAUGAAUUGACGGGGGCCCGCACAAGCGGUGGAGCAUGUGGUUUAAUUCGAUGCAACGCGAAGAACCUUACCUGGUCUUGACAUCCACAGAACUUUUCCAGAGAUGGAUUGGUGCCUUCGGGAACUGUGAGACAGGUGCUGCAUGGCUGUCGUCAGCUCGUGUUGUGAAAUGUUGGGUUAAGUCCCGCAACGAGCGCAACCCUUAUCCUUUGUUGCCAGCGAUUAGGUCGGGAACUCAAAGGAGACUGCCAGUGAUAAACUGGAGGAAGGUGGGGAUGACGUCAAGUCAUCAUGGCCCUUACGACCAGGGCUACACACGUGCUACAAUGGCGCAUACAAAGAGAAGCGACCUCGCGAGAGCAAGCGGACCUCAUAAAGUGCGUCGUAGUCCGGAUUGGAGUCUGCAACUCGACUCCAUGAAGUCGGAAUCGCUAGUAAUCGUGGAUCAGAAUGCCACGGUGAAUACGUUCCCGGGCCUUGUACACACCGCCCGUCACACCAUGGGAGUGGGUUGCAAAAGAAGUAGGUAGCUUAACCUUCGGGAGGGCGCUUACCACUUUGUGAUUCAUGACUGGGGUGAAGUCGUAACAAGGUAACCGUAGGGGAACCUGCGGUUGGAUCACCUCCUUACCUUAAAG
This 1551-nucleotide ribosomal RNA is filed under the name Salmonella enterica subsp. enterica serovar Heidelberg str. 29169. RNAcentral's name for it is "bacterial SSU rRNA". It matches the Rfam family "Bacterial small subunit ribosomal RNA". The record is from RNAcentral. Lineage: Bacteria; Pseudomonadati; Pseudomonadota; Gammaproteobacteria; Enterobacterales; Enterobacteriaceae.